AUGCCUAGCCGUAAAACCAACUCACACCAAUACACGCCAGGGAAUUACGAGCAUAGCUUAAAACCCAAAGGACUUGACGGUGUCCCAUCCCACUAGAGGAGCCUGUCCUAGAAUCGAUAAUCCCCGCUUAACCUUACCACUUCUCGCUUUAUUCAGCUAGUAUACUUCCGUCGCAAGCUUACCACAUGAGUGUACCAAGUGGGUCUAAUGAUCAUCAUAAAUACGUCAGGUCAAGGUGCAGCAUAAGAAGUGGGCUGAGAUGGGCUACAAUUUCUAAUAUAGAACAAACGAAGUGCCAAAUGAAACACGGCAUGAAGGAGGAUCUAGUAGUAAAAAAAGAAUAGAGUGCUUUUUUAAACAGCGGCACUGGGACGCGUACAAACCGCCCGUCACCCUCCUCAAUAUAUUUAUUUCUGUAAAUAACACCAACUAUAUUGCCAGAGGAGGCAAGUCGUAACACGGUAAGUGUACUGGAAAGUGCACUUGGAUAG
RNAcentral lists this ribosomal RNA (491 nucleotides) under Occidozyga sp. AJT0249. RNAcentral describes it as "partial 12S small subunit ribosomal RNA". It matches the Rfam family "Bacterial small subunit ribosomal RNA", at positions 792 to 1523 of the family's 1533-position model. Lineage: Eukaryota; Metazoa; Chordata; Amphibia; Anura; Dicroglossidae. The record is from RNAcentral.